RNAcentral lists this non-coding RNA (224 nucleotides) under Brucella abortus. Its description in RNAcentral is "BASRCI153". It matches the Rfam family "Brucella sRNA CI153". The record is from RNAcentral. Lineage: Bacteria; Pseudomonadati; Pseudomonadota; Alphaproteobacteria; Hyphomicrobiales; Brucellaceae. RNAcentral also lists the same sequence under 1 other name.
GCAUUUUCGAGCCAAAAGUGUGAAACGCCUACGCGGGGAAAUCAGUCCACUGGACUGAUUUCUGAUCCCGCUUCGAUACGUAGGAUAAUGCGAUAAAACAAAUAGUUAGAGCGGCUCCAACGAUUCCGUUUUAACCGGAACCGCUCUGGAAUUUCUAAAAUGAAAAGCCCCGCAUUCCCCCGAAGUUGGUCGUCCAACUUUCGGGGGCAGUUCAAUGGGCGGGG